Rhizophagus irregularis DAOM 197198w is the source of this 72-nucleotide transfer RNA. It matches the Rfam family "tRNA". From Rfam's summary of the family: Transfer RNA (tRNA) molecules are approximately 80 nucleotides in length. Their secondary structure includes four short double-helical elements and three loops (D, anti-codon, and T loops). NCBI's taxonomy places the organism in Eukaryota, Fungi, Glomeromycota, Glomeromycetes, Glomerales, Glomeraceae. The record is from Rfam.
UCCGCAUUGGUCUAGUGGUUAGGAUAUCCCGUUCUCAUCGGGAAGGCCGGGGUUCGAUUCCCCGAUGUGGAU